Molecule: ribosomal RNA, 252 nt
Filed under: Triticum aestivum (bread wheat)
Lineage: Eukaryota; Viridiplantae; Streptophyta; Magnoliopsida; Poales; Poaceae
Description: partial small subunit ribosomal RNA
Source: RNAcentral
AUGAUAGUCAAUAUGGGCCCUCAACACCCCACUACUCUCCUCAUAGGAUACUUAUCAAAAGCUCAAUUUUGUACUGGAUCGAGGCAUCCUAUUAGUAAACCCAUUUGGACAAAUUUAUCAGAUUGGGAUAUUCUUGAUCGAUUUGGUCAGAUAUGUUGAAAUCUUUUUCAUUAUACUGCGACUGCCCGCCAUCGCGCCGGAGAAUGUCCACCUCGAGGUCGCGCUCGCCGCGCAGCGCCUAGCGCAGCAUGA